This 1158-nucleotide long non-coding RNA is filed under the name Elaeis guineensis (African oil palm). Its description in RNAcentral is "long non-coding RNA (EGUI_LNC024376)". The record is from RNAcentral. Lineage: Eukaryota; Viridiplantae; Streptophyta; Magnoliopsida; Arecales; Arecaceae.
CUGGCUUCUUGAGCCCAAGUUCGGUCGCUAGCGCUCUUCGUGCAUUCUUCGAGCUCCUUCGCAAAGUUCGCCUUCCUCCGGCUGUAGUCCAUGAUCGCCUUCACUUGGAGACUCUUGAAGUGGGCGGCCUCAGCGGCGGCCUCGGAAUAGCAUUUUUUCACCUGGCGGAGCUCGCCCUCCGACUUUUUCAACUUCUUCGUCAGGUGGAGGACCUCCUUUUUUAGCCGUUGGAUAGUUGACUUCAGCGGGACCCCCAGGGGCAAGGGAAGUGCUUCGACAGGACGCUGCCAUCGGAAGACGCAAACGUCAGAGACCAACUCUUUACAAGAAGAAAGGCAGAAAAGAAGAAGCAGGGGGAGGGAAAGGUCAUCCACAAUAAGAAGUUUGACUUUAUUGAUUAAUUUUGAAGACAAGCGGAAGGGAAAUAUGGCGAUAAAAGAAAGAUACAAGAUCGGAGGUCUCAGACCUCGGGGGCAGGGGGUGGAGAGCUCGACGCGGGGGGCGCGGCUGCGACGGCGGCGGACGGAGGGGCGGCCUCGUCGUCAGACUCCUCCAAAAAUCCGAGAUCAAGAUCGGGAUAUCUGCUGGCCAUCCUCUCUCGGCAGAGCUCGAACCCCUUGGUGAACGCCUCCAGGCCGAACUAGACGUUCAGCUCCCUCAUCUCCGCGGAGGUCUUGAACUCCUCCACUGCAAGGGUCCUGGCCUCCGAGACCAGAACCGGAGUUUGCUCGGCCAGAUGGGCGACUUCGGCCUCCGCCUUCCUUGCCGAUUUCUCCAAACUUCGCCUCUCCUCCUCCCGGACUCGCCUUUCCUCUUCCCGAUCUUGUCUCUCUCUCUCCAGAGCCUCCCGAAGGGCGGCCACCUCGGCCGUCUUCGCUUGAAGAUGAGCAACCUCGUCUUGGCAGCGCUCCUCCGCCCGAAGAAGAUCCCUUCUCAUGCGGCCUGACGCCUCAACAUAGGCGAAGAGCUGGUGCCCGAUCUGCAAAGACAGAUAGAGAAUUACAACAAAGACCGAGCAACUGAGCAAGUAAAAAUCUGCUUACCUCAAGAAAGGACCCCAAGGUGUCCCAGGCCCGCUGCUCGGGAUCGGCGCGGUCGAUCCUCUCCACGACAUUGGACAGGAUGCAACCAUCGAGCAGCCGGCGGAUUAGGGCCUUG